RNAcentral lists this ribosomal RNA (424 nucleotides) under uncultured bacterium. RNAcentral describes it as "bacterial SSU rRNA". It matches the Rfam family "Bacterial small subunit ribosomal RNA", at positions 355 to 796 of the family's 1533-position model. The record is from RNAcentral.
UGGGGAAUCUUGGACAAUGGGGGAAACCCUGAUCCAGCCAUGCCGCGUGAGUGAUGAAGGCCUUAGGGUUGUAAAGCUCUUUCGCACGCGACGAUGAUGACGGUAGCGUGAGAAGAAGCCCCGGCUAACUUCGUGCCAGCAGCCGCGGUAAUACGAAGGGGGCUAGCGUUGUUCGGAAUUACUGGGCGUAAAGCGCACGUAGGCGGCUUGGUAAGUUGGGGGUGAAAUCCCGGGGCUCAACCUCGGAAUUGCCUUCAAGACUGCUUGGCUUGAGUUCGGAAGAGGUGAGUGGAAUUCCCAGUGUAGAGGUGAAAUUCGUAGAGAUUGGGAAGAACACCAGUGGCGAAGGCGGCUCACUGGUCCGAUACUGACGCUGAGGUGCGAAAGCGUGGGGAGCAAACAGGAUUAGAUACCCCCGUAGUCC